This 106-nucleotide small nucleolar RNA is filed under the name Cephalotus follicularis. Its description in RNAcentral is "Plant small nucleolar RNA R71". It matches the Rfam family "Plant small nucleolar RNA R71". Rfam says of the family: R71 is a member of the C/D box family of snoRNAs containing the C (UGAUGA) and D (CUGA) box motifs. Multiple nearly identical copies of this snoRNA have been identified in Arabidopsis, and it is thought to function as a 2'-O-ribose methylation guide for 18S ribosomal RNA. Lineage: Eukaryota; Viridiplantae; Streptophyta; Magnoliopsida; Oxalidales; Cephalotaceae. The record is from Rfam by way of RNAcentral.
CAGCAUGAUGAGGACAUUUUCAGAUGAGAUCCUUUAAUCUUUCCCAUGAGUCAUGGAAUUGCUCACCAUCUUGCUGUGAAAAGCUAGUGAGAGCUCAUCUUAUCUG